UCUAGUUUUAUGGAUUUGUGGUUCCUUUUUUCUAUUUUUGUGGAUAUAAAUUUUUUGUUAUUUUCGAAAAAUAUUGUAAAUGUGCUUGUAAUAAAAUCUAAACUUUUUGUUUUUUUUUUAAAAAAUGUCUUUACUGCGUGUGCUUAUUUUUGGAUCUACAACAUUUUUUUUUAAUUUCUUUGUAAAUCUGCAGGUGAUAGAGUAGUAUUUAUUUCCAUUAAUCUACUUCUCUGCAGAAACAUGUUUUACAAUAGAAAAUUAGCUUUUUUAAAAAAUAAAAUAUAAGUUGUGGUUCCCUAUUAUUAACCCGAGAAUGAUAGUUCAUAGCUCAAUGGAUGUUCAAUCACUGAUUUAUUUCCUUCAAAAGAAUAAAUAUUAUCCAAUUUUUCAAGGAUUUUUUCAAGUAAUGUAAAUGUAGGUCACUAUUAUUAUAUUCAGUUUUUUGUCUUUUGUUUUUGUUCUAUUGAGCUUAAGCAAUCCAACAUUUCUAUUACAUUGACUAUAGUGAUUGCAUUAUUUUUAAUUGCAGCAUCGUCAGUCUAUAGUUGAUGUAUCAUUACUUACUAAACUAUUAUUUAAAUUUAAAUAUUAAUAAGCCUUCUAAAAUUCAGACUAUUGAUUAGAUACAAAUAUAUCUAUACACAUUACUCUGGAAACGUGGAUGGUAAUGUGUUGAGCUAUGAGAACGAAAUGAGGAUGUUGUUAAAUCAUCGAAGGCACAAAUCUGGAGUCUUUUAGUUCUUCAAGUUCUGUAUGCAUGUUGCUUGCUUUGAAAUGUUUUACUAAUAUAUUUGUAAUCUUUUAGAUGAAAGAAGGAGGAAGUGAAAAUGUUCUUGCAAUAUAAAACUUGUUUAAAGUAUUUGGAAUCAUCCUCCCCCUUUGCGGUUCUGCCAUUGCAUCACCUCCAUCGAUACACUGAAGAUAGUUAAUCUGCAUUCAUUUUGGCCCUCUAUUGUUGGUGUAGGAUAUUCUCAAAUCAUUAUGCUCCUUCCUUCCUUGACCAUAGCUGCUAUCACAGUAGCACUCAAGGCUCAAGAAAUCAUCAAUCAUCAUUGCAAAAAAUAAAGACAAAGGAAAUCAAGAUUUGCUGCCUAGUUAUUGUUGAAGAAAUGGAAAUCAAGAAAAAUGAAAGAAAAUAGAAAAAUUUGUAUUUAUAGACAGUUUUGAUGUGUAAAAAUAAUGGGCAAUCCUUUGAUAUUUAUAGACAAAGGUUUGAACAUAAAAAUAUAAGUGUAGGUGUAAAGUUUGUGUGCACUCCAAGUUUGUGUGCACUCAAUUAUUGUAUAGGCUCCUACAAAAUGACAAAAUUUGCAACAAAGACAAAAAAAUAAACAUUAAAUUAUAGAAAA
Molecule: long non-coding RNA, 1349 nt
Organism: Trifolium pratense (red clover)
Lineage: Eukaryota; Viridiplantae; Streptophyta; Magnoliopsida; Fabales; Fabaceae
Exons: 2
Source: RefSeq, a predicted model, not a curated record